CCUACGGGAGGCAGCAGUGGGGAAUUUUGGACAAUGGGGGCAACCCUGAUCCAGCCAUGCCGCGUGAGUGAAGAAGGCCUUCGGGUUGUAAAGCUCUUUCGGCCGGGAAGAAAUCGCAUGGGCUAAUACCCUGUGCGGAUGACGGUACCGGCAUAAGAAGCACCGGCUAACUACGUGCCAGCAGCCGCGGUAAUACGUAGGGUGCGAGCGUUAAUCGGAAUUACUGGGCGUAAAGCGUGCGCAGGCGGUUUUGUAAGACAGGCGUGAAAUCCCCGGGCUCAACCUGGGAACUGCGCUUGUGACUGCAAGGCUAGAGUAUGGCAGAGGGGGGUGGAAUUCCACGUGUAGCAGUGAAAUGCGUAGAGAUGUGGAGGAACACCAAUGGCGAAGGCAGCCCCCUGGGCCAAUACUGACGCUCAUGCACGAAAGCGUGGGUAGCAAACAGGAUUAGAUACCCUGGUAGUCCACGCCCUAAACGAUGUCAACUAGGUGUUGGGUGGGUAAAACCAUUUAGUACCGGAGCUAACGCAUGAAGUUGACCGCCUGGGGAGUACGGCCGCAAGGUUAAAACUCAAAGGAAUUGACGG
Molecule: ribosomal RNA, 587 nt
Filed under: uncultured bacterium
Lineage: Bacteria
Description: bacterial SSU rRNA
Rfam family: Bacterial small subunit ribosomal RNA
Source: RNAcentral